RNAcentral lists this ribosomal RNA (823 nucleotides) under uncultured Alphaproteobacteria bacterium. Its description in RNAcentral is "bacterial SSU rRNA". It matches the Rfam family "Bacterial small subunit ribosomal RNA", at positions 58 to 936 of the family's 1533-position model. The record is from RNAcentral. Lineage: Bacteria; Pseudomonadati; Pseudomonadota; Alphaproteobacteria.
CAAGUCGAACGCACCGCAAGGUGAGUGGCAGACGGGUGAGUAACGCGUGGGAAUAUCCCCUUUGGUUCAGGACAGCCCCGGGAAACUGGGAUUAAUACUGGAUAAGAUCUACGGAUGAAAGAUUUAUCGCCGAAGGAUUAGCCCGCGUAAGAUUAGUUAGUUGGUGAGGUAAUGGCUCACCAAGACAAUGAUCUUUAGCUGGUCUGAGAGGAUGAUCAGCCACACUGGAACUGAGACACGGUCCAGACUCCUACGGGAGGCAGCAGUGAGGAAUAUUGGACAAUGGACGCAAGUCUGAUCCAGCCAUGCCGCGUGAGUGAUGAAGGCCUUAGGGUUGUAAAACUCUUUUAGUGGGGAAAAUAAUGAUGGUACCCACAGAAAAAGCUCCGGCUAACUUCGUGCCAGCAGCCGCGGUAAUACGAAGGGAGCUAGCGUUACUCGGAAUCACUGGGCGUAAAGCGCAUGUAGGCGGAAUUGCAAGUCAGAGGUGAAAUCCCAGGGCUUAACCCUGGAAUUGCCUUUGAAACUGCAAUUCUUGAGUAUGGUAGAGGAUGGUGGAAUUUCCAGUGUAGAGGUGAAAUUCGUAGAUAUUGGAAAGAACACCGGUGGCGAAGGCGGCCAUCUGGGCCAUUACUGACGCUGAGAUGCGAAAGCGUGGGGAGCAAACGGGAUUAGAUACCCCGGUAGUCCACGCCGUAAACGAUGAGUGCUAGUUGUUGGCAUUAGCCAGUAACACAGUUAACACGUUAAGCACUCCGCCUGGGGAGUACGGUCGCAAGAUUAAAACUCAAAGGAAUUGACGGGGACCCGCACAAGCGGUGGA